Molecule: ribosomal RNA, 468 nt
Filed under: uncultured bacterium
Lineage: Bacteria
Description: partial 16S ribosomal RNA
Rfam family: Bacterial small subunit ribosomal RNA
Source: RNAcentral
GACGAACGCUGGCGGCGUGCUUAACACAUGCAAGUCGAACGGAAAGGCCCUGCUUUUGUGGGGUGCUCGAGUGGCGAACGGGUGAGUAACACGUGAGUAACCUGCCCUUGACUUUGGGAUAACUUCAGGAAACUGGGGCUAAUACCGGAUAGGAGCUCCUGCUGCAUGGUGGGGGUUGGAAAGUUUCGGCGGUUGGGGAUGGACUCGCGGCUUAUCAGCUUGUUGGUGGGGUAGUGGCUUACCAAGGCUUUGACGGGUAGCCGGCCUGAGAGGGUGACCGGCCACAUUGGGACUGAGAUACGGCCCAGACUCCUACGGGAGGGAGCAGUGGGGAAUAUUGCACAAUGGGCGGAAGCCUGAUGCAGCAGCGCCGCGUGCGGGAUGACGGCCGUCGGGUUGUAAACCGCUUUCGCCUGUGACGAAGCGUGAGUGACGGUAAUGGGUAAAGAAGCACCGGCUAACUACGUG